Long non-coding RNA from Panicum virgatum (switchgrass), 1567 nucleotides. RefSeq lists it as uncharacterized. The record is from RefSeq and is a predicted model, not a curated record. NCBI's taxonomy places the organism in Eukaryota, Viridiplantae, Streptophyta, Magnoliopsida, Poales, Poaceae. The transcript has 3 exons.
UAGAUUCGUCUCGCGAUUUACAACCCAUCUAUGCAAAAAGUUUUGCAAAUAGACUUCAUUUAGUACUUCAAAUGCCCUGUUUACAUCUUUACACAUUUUUGCAAAAUGAACUAAACACACCCUUAGUAGCACAAUGGAACCAGAUAGUAAAAAGAGUUUCAAGCUUUCUAAAGUCUUCACUGCUCCACCACUAAGAUUUGCACCAAAAUUAGAACAAAUGAGCAGGGAUUACACCUCUUUAGAUGAGAUUCAAGAAGAACCCAAGGUAAUCUCUUCAACUAAAUGUGUUUUCUCUGAUAAGAUUUCUUCCCAAAAUGUAGCAACUUUUAUUUUUGCAACCUAUAGAUUUGGCUUUGUUUUAACCAUAUAUAGCACUUGCACAAUAGGUGGACCUGUUAAAGAAUAUCACUCUUUCCGGUGAUAAAACACAAUGCAAAAGCAAUGCAACUGAACCUAGCUAUCCAUCCACUGCCAAAAAAAACAGAGCUUGGUUCCUAUGUCCAACAAAGAAAAGGGAAAAGAGAUCAGCUUGUAUUAAAACCAACUGCUCCAGCUCCUGAUGAACUCACAAUUGCUUUAGACAGUGGUAGAAAAUUUAAGAAACCAAAACUUGAGCUGUCAGUAUCUCUUUUAGGGUCUGCACUGAACUUUGUUACUUCAGUAGAUAUUGAAAAAUGCCUAGAGAAACCACUUAAAUUAGUAAAUGUAGUCUUUUGGGCCUCAAUUAUUUCUUUUCUAUGGACAAGGCUAAUUUACCUAUUCAACCUCAUUUGCCCAAGCAAAGCUACAUACAUAUCACAAUGCAUUGACUACCCUGUUAAUGCAAUAACCACCUAUAUUCCCAACUCUCUACAAAAAAUCAAGAUCUUCCUCAUAUCUGUGUAUCUAGACGUGUACUACCAUUGCAUCGGGCACUUUGAUAUGGAUUUUUGUAUUCUGGUGGUUCUUGCCAUCUACUGAAGGAUCAUUCCAAGUUAGAUUUAGAAAUUCAAUUUUAGUACACCUAGUCGCAUUUGCAAUCGUCCAUUCUGCAAAAGCGAUUUGACAUGGCUGCUUCAAACUUGAAGAUAUCCUUGUGACUCUCUGGUUUAAAAUGACGAACUAUACUCCUAGAGAAGAACCUGCAGGUGUUUCAGCAUCACAGGGCAAUGAGAGUUCACAAAUUGUGGUUCAUACUCAAUCUUAAGACAUAUUUUUCAGGUGCAAAUUACCUUUAUGCUACAAGAACAACCUUUUGAAGUUGGCCAAUACGACUUAACCCACUAAUGUUCAGGAAUUGGGAGCUGAUCAGCUAGAGCUCUACUACAUCGUUGCAGUCAUUCACCUUAUGGGUACAGGAGCUGCAACGUGUACACAUCCACCAAGUCAUACUCAUUAGAUCUACUUAUUAAGUCAUUAUGCUGCUGCUAAGACUACUGUUUAGAUUAUCUAUUCAAUGAACGUUGUGCGCUGUUCUAAUUGAACGCAUUCUUGUGAAAACAGUGCUAGAUAUGCACCAGUCACCUAUUUCGAUGUACUAAGAAACAGAUUAAUAUUUAAUGCCUCCGUCCAAACUGUCCUAUGCUGA